This 1110-nucleotide ribosomal RNA is filed under the name Triticum aestivum (bread wheat). Its description in RNAcentral is "partial small subunit ribosomal RNA". Lineage: Eukaryota; Viridiplantae; Streptophyta; Magnoliopsida; Poales; Poaceae. The record is from RNAcentral.
AUGUUCAUCGUAGAAGAUAAGGGCAGUGCCAUUGCUCUCAUGUGCGCCGCCCUCCUCUUCUUGGGCACAUGGCCAGCAUUGCUCACCCUCUUGGAGCGCAGGGGCCGGCUACCACAACACACGUACCUUGAUUACUCGAUCACGAACCUCCUCGCCGCAGUCCUCAUCGCGCUCACCUUGGGCCAGCUUGGGGAGAGCAAGCAAGACAUGCCCAAUUUCUUCACCCAUCUCAGUCAGGAUAACUGGCCUUCGGUGCUGUUUGCAAUGGCAGGGGGCCUUGUGCUCAGUAUUGGGAACCUUUCUACACAAUAUGCUUGGGCAUAUGUGGGUCUCUCAGUUACUGAGGUUAUCUGCGCAAGCAUGGUUGUUGUAAUAGGCACAACACUGAAUUAUUUCCUGGACAACCGCAUCAACAGGGCAGAUAUUCUUUUCACUGGAGUGGCUUGCUUCCUUGUUGCAGUCAUCCUUGGGACUGCUGUACACGCAGCUGAUAAUGAAGAGAAACUAAGUAUACAUGAUGCACUAGAGGUGGACAUAGAGAAUGGAGCUUGUGCAGAAGAGGUCACCAGAGCUGAAGCAGGAACUGCAGAGUACCUGAUUGAGCUCGAAGGCCGGCGUUCGGUUAAGGUGUUUGGAUCGAGCACCCUCAAGGGGCUUGGGCUAGUUUUCUUUGCCGGGGUGUGCCUCUCGCUCUUCUCCCCAGCACUCAACCUCGCCACCAAUGACCAGUGGCACACCCUGAAAGACGGCGUCCCGCAUCUGGUUGUGUACACCGCCUUCUUCUACUUCUUCAUGUCGUGUUUUGUCAUCGGUUCAUCCUUCAAGGCCUAUCUGAGUGACUGGGAAGGCAGGCAGUGGGCUCUCCUCGCCGGCUUGCUUUGUGGCUUCGGCAAUGGCUUCCAGUUCAUGGGUGGUCAGGCUGCUGGUUAUGCUGCUGCUGAUGCUGUUGAGGCAUUGCCACUUGUGAGCACAUUCUGGGGCAUCGUGCUGUUCGGGGAGUACCGCAAGUCGUCGAAGAAAACGUACACUCUCCUCGUGUUGAUGCUGCUCAUGUUCGUCGCGGCUGUAGCAACGCUCAUGGCUUCAGCAGGUCGCAGGGCCACAAAGUGA